Molecule: long non-coding RNA, 3799 nt
Organism: Dermochelys coriacea (leatherback sea turtle)
Lineage: Eukaryota; Metazoa; Chordata; Testudines; Dermochelyidae
Exons: 4
Source: RefSeq, a predicted model, not a curated record
UGCUGAUCAUCAGCUUGUGGGGUCCUUGGCAGCGGAAGAGGGAGAGUGGCCUCUUGUGGGGGGAGAUGUGGCCCCUGCUGCAGAUUCCCUCUCACCUGCCGACUCUGAUGGUCCUGCUUGGGAGAUAGCCUUGGGGGCAGGCAUAGAGCUAAAGCUAAGCACAAGGCUGGAGCGUAGCUGCUUCCCUUCAGUUCUGGAUCAGGUUUCCUCUUGGGGGGCAGGGGCAGUGCUGCUCCUCUGCCCCAUUUCCUCCCCCCCCCGGGGAAAAUUCAGUGGGAGGAGCUGGCUGAGGAGCAGGGUUUUUGGGGGGGGUUUGUAUGGGGGGGUUAUUGGUGCUGUCCCUCCCCUAGAGGAGCCCAUUGUGGAGGAGUCUGCCUGUGUCCUUAACAUCUGUCCCCGCAGUUGGUGCCAAGACUGAGAUUUCUGCUUCGCCAGUGGGGCAGGCUCUGUGAGUGGGGAUCUCUCAGACUGUUUGGGAGCAAUCAGGGCUCUGGGUCUAGCUGACCUAUGUGGGGGUGACCAUCUCCUUAGUCUGGGCGUUGAAGCUAUUAUGGUGACACCUCUCUUCCUCCUCCUGCCCUUGAUCCUGCCCUCCCCUGGAUGCGCCACUCAAACCUGGUCUCUGCCCAGUAAAUGACGGCGCAGGCCUUUCAGCCGUUGAGCCCGUUGUUUUAGCGGCAUUGGCUGGCACCAAGCAGUGAGGUGCCAGGCAUUCUGAGAUGUCCUCCUCUAAGGCGGAGCAGCUCGGUCCCAAGCCCGUUCAAGAUCUAGGGUCCAGGGCUUUCCAAGGGGAUUGGUGAUGCUGGAUUCAUGGGCUCUGGGCCUGUUGAGGUGGCACCAGCUCCCAGCCCUGAGCCCCUUUAACUCAGCACUUGGGGCAAGAAUGAAGGGUCUGUUAGUUCUGGUGAGCCUAGCAUAGUGGUGUUGCAGACACUGCAGCCCUGAGCGGGGUUCUAGACGUAUGCUCUCCAUCAAUGACCAGUAGCUGGACCAGGGGAGCAGUGCCGGGGACUGGAGGUAAUUAGACCCAGACAGGACCCCAGGAGUGAAGUCAACGCCUGCGAGGAAGAGUGAGCUUGCCUAGGAGUUGGGACUUAUAUAGGGGACCAAGGGGCAAGGGACUGGAAGAGACUACAGCCAAGCCCAGGCUGAGGGUCAACUAACUAGUGGCCACCACCAACAUCCUCAGAGGGAUUCUUGACGAUUGUGCCUUGGUGGGUGUUUGGCACAACUGGCACCCAGACAAUGCCACCUCCUUCAGCUUUGUCUGGGUGGAAUUGCGCCAAUAACAGUUGGACAGAAUUUACAUUUCAUGCUUUUAACAUGGGCCUGUUCCUCUGACAUUCGGCUGACCCCCUACUCAGACUAUCAUUUAGUUUUUGUGAAGGUUGCUCUUAUACCUAAGUGGUUGGGGCUGGCUUAUUGGCAUUUUAAUAACAGCCUGUUGGAUGAUGUGGGCUCUGUGGAGUCCUUGUAGGAAUUUUAGCUGACUUGGCAAGGGAAGUAGUAUGCCUUUCCCUCAGCAUGGACAAGCUCCAGGCCACUGAUGGCCAUUUGGCCCAUGGUACUUUUGUCUGGUUGUGUAUCCAACUCCUUCAGGAGGCGGAUCACAGCUCCCACUUCUGUGCCCUGGAGAAGAAGAUGGGUGCUAAAAAAUACCUGUUUUCUGUCAGAGGACAGUUCCUCUCUUACAGAUCUGGAGAAGAUGCAAGAAAGGGCUAGGGCUUUCUAUGCUGACCGUUUCUCCCUGGAUCUGAAGGCAGUGCUUGUGGGGUCCUGCCAGAUAAACUCCCAAUGGGAUACCAGGAAGGGAUCAGGAUGCCACAACAGGAUCAGGACCACAGCUGGAACCGGAACGGAAGAGGACAACAACCAGGAACACAACAGACUGGACGAUGAAGAUUAGGAACAGGAUCAGGACCACACUUGGGAACAGAACUGCCAGUUAAGUGCUAAAUCCAAGAUUUUUAUAGCAAACAUUGAUGUAAGAAGCAAGCAGGAUUCACUUUGGAAUUUCAGCUGAUCCAUCAAAUUCUGAACAGUAACACAACAGGCCAGGUGCAGUUCUUUGGAAAAAGAACCAAUCCCAAGUGUUCCAAAAUCAGGAAUCAAGCCUCCCAGAAUCAAGAUACUGGCUCAAAAUGCAUGAGAUAAACAAAACAAAAACAAAAAUUAAUAAUAUGUUGGGUUCUCUUUACUUGCCUUCCAGUGUCAGAGCCUUUCAGUCACACUCAAGUCACACUUUAAAACUUUUCUCUGAAAACCACAAGGGCUAGAAACUCACUUAAAAAAACCAAAGAAACAAAAAACCCCCAUACCAACCAAAAAACAAAACAAAAUCCCACCCCAAAACCAAAAAACUUAAAAACAACCCUGAGAUUCUCCCAUAGUCACAUGCUUCUAGGAGCUGUGGCUUUAAGAAAAUCGCCAGAUAAGUUGGCAGCACUGUAAUGUUUUUCUGCUUUUCUUUUGUGGAGAAACUGUUUUUUCUGAAGGCAAGCUGGUAUGCUUGUUAGACUUUGAGAGACAAGGUAGGCGAGCUAAUAUCUUUAUUGGCCCAGCUUCUGUUGGUCAAAGAGACAAGCGUUCGAGCUACACAGAGCUCUUUUUUAGGUCUCUGGAGGCUAGACAUUGAGUCCUUCCAGGGAGAGCCUGUCAGCAAAUUGGCUCAUUUAGCCACAACAGCCAGGUGCAUGGAGGGUAAAGAGGAGUUUUGUUCAAGGAAAGCCCUUGUAUUGUAAACAGGAUAAAAGGGGAUGGAAAGAACCACUUAUCACUGUCUAAUACAUCCCCAGGUCAUUCCUGUGCUAGCUCCUAGUGGAGGAAAAGGAUUUCAUGUUAACAGGUCUUGUUAACUCCAAGGCCAAAGGUUGGGAUUUUCUGAUUGUUGAGCAACCAACAGCCGUAAUGUGCCUUGAGAAGAGCUGCUCAAACUCUCCGUUAGCUCUGCAUUGCCCCCUAAUCAGAGCUGCAGCUAAAGUCUCAAUGGCACCCAUAAGGAAAUCCAACUCUUGGCAAAGUCACCUUUGUCUUGCUACUAUUUCAGGAUGUGUCCCCAAUCCACAGUCAGCAGAGCAUGGCAGGGGCAGAAGAGGCUUGUUCAUGCCCUGCCCGGCCUCGCCCCAUAGGAAUCUUUCUGAAGAGAAGAACUUGUUACUCUGUUAGGAUCAGACCCCAAUAAUAGGGCUGUUUUUCUAACCCCAGUCCCCAACACGCUGACAGCGAGACACGUAUAUGCACACACCCACACAGGCACUCUCUUGCACUCUCACCGUUCUCAGGGUUUCUAGGAGAUGAGCGUGCCUCCUUAAUACUAAUAACUGUGGAGCUUUGAAAACAAGGAAUGCCAAACCUCAGGGCAUGCUGAAGGAACGAGAAAUGUAGAUGAGUGCUUGAUAGAGACUCAUCACUCAAUCCAGCUCCAGGCUAUGGGACCUGCAUGUCCGAACUUUGACAGGCUCUCUUUUACAUAAGCCAGACCUCACAGAGCGCCUCACAGCACUUUGGGAGCAUUGGGGGAGGGAGCGAGUCAGAAAAAGAAAACAUGAGAAGAAAGUCAGAGGCUUAUCCAUCAAGAUCCUUCAAAUGCUGGGCAGCAUGCUGAUCUCAAACCCGCCUGAGCACUGACCUUUGUAAAGGUACAUGGCACCUCCUCCCUUCUCUGAAUGAAGCACAUUUCCUCAGUAAUGUGUCUGGGAGGUGGCAGUAAGAUUGGCUGCCAGCUAGGGCUGCCAUGCCCACCAGUUUGUAGGCAGUUUGCCAUCGUGCAAGAGACAGCAAAGGGGCGGGGCAUGGGUGG